UACAGAGGUCUCGAGCGUUAUGCGGAAUCACUGGGCUUAAAGCGUGUGUAGGCGGAUGUCUAAGUACCUUGUGAAAUCCCACGGCUUAACCGUGGAACUGCUGGGUAUACUGGAUGUCUUGAGCCAUCUAGGGGCAACUGGAACGAAUGGUGGAGCGGUGAAAUGCGUAGAUAUCAUUCGGAACGCCGGUGGUGAAAACGGGUUGCUGGGGAUGUGCUGACGCUGAGACACGAAAGCCAGGGGAGCGAACGGG
RNAcentral lists this ribosomal RNA (253 nucleotides) under uncultured bacterium. RNAcentral describes it as "partial 16S ribosomal RNA". It matches the Rfam family "Bacterial small subunit ribosomal RNA", at positions 524 to 776 of the family's 1533-position model. The record is from RNAcentral.